CAUACACAAAAACUGCGCAUGCGCCGUCAGUAUUCCCAUGGUUCUCUCGUGUUCGGGCUCACAGUGAGAAGCUAGCUAGCUGUCAUGUCUGAGAAGAAACAAACUGUAGAUUUGGGCUUGUUGGAGGAAGAUGAUGAAUUUGAGGAGUUUCCAGCAGAAGAUUGGACAGGCCUUGAUGAAGAUGAGGAUGCUCACGUGUGGGAAGAUAACUGGGAUGAUGAUAACGUAGAAGAUGACUUCUCCAAUCAGCUGAGAGCUGAACUUGAGAAGCACGGAUACAAGAUGGAGACGUCGUAACAUUGACUAAUCGCCAGCAUGUCGAUGGUCAAUCGCAACUGAAUAUUGUCACUGUAUGAAUGCUGUUUUGCUUAUUUCCUUUGUAAGAAGUCAGGAGUGAUGUGUGUUAUUAUGAGUCUGAAGAAAAUGGAAUGAUUUUUUUUUCUUUUUCUUUUCCCUAACAAGGAACUGUUUGUAUGUGUUAUUAGUUGCUUUAUUAAAGCUAUUCUCUUCUUA
This is a long non-coding RNA of Hemibagrus wyckioides, 513 nucleotides long. RefSeq lists it as uncharacterized. The record is from RefSeq and is a predicted model, not a curated record. Lineage: Eukaryota; Metazoa; Chordata; Actinopteri; Siluriformes; Bagridae. The transcript is spliced from 3 exons.